Molecule: non-coding RNA, 120 nt
Filed under: Thermacetogenium phaeum
Lineage: Bacteria; Bacillati; Bacillota; Clostridia; Thermoanaerobacterales; Thermoanaerobacteraceae
Also listed under: 1 other name
Description: MoCo sequence
Rfam family: Molybdenum/Tungsten riboswitch aptamer (Moco RNA motif)
Source: RNAcentral
AUUAAUUCAAUUCUCCGAGUUCACCGUCCUGUGGCAGUUUGCUAUGGCGGUCGAACCGAUAGGGUGUACCUGGAAACGGGUGCGCCUCCCAGUGCGGAAAGGAGACUACGGCAAAAGCGU